ACAAAAAAAAAACAAAAAAAAACAAAAGACGUGAUGGAGGACUGGCCGAAGCUACUUUCUUCCCCUCUGCCUCUGUUCUUUGUGCGCUUCUCCUCUGGUCUUGCUUUUCUUUGCUUGGCUUCUUUUUUCUUAUCUUGUUCUCCCUGUCUCCCUUAGUGUCUGCCUGGUAUUCUUGUGGUGCUCAUCCUGUUCUUAGUGUAUGUGUCGUCUGUUCGUCUGUGUUUUUUUGUUCCUGUGUUCUAUGUUGGCAUGAGCUUGCUCCCGGUUGCUGGAGUUUUGAAGGAGAUUCUACAGUCCCUUUCCUCUGUUUCACUCUGCCUCUGUGUUUUUUUCUCUGGUUCGUCCUUCCUGUAUUUGCUCGUUCGUCACCGUCUCUCUCAACUGGUUUUUUCCUGUCCUCUCCUCCCUUGGUUUUUCUGUUCUUUCGUUCGUUUCCUUCCUGUAUCUGCUCGUUCAUCCCCUUUUCUCUCUACUGGUUUUUUUUUCCUAUCCUCUCCCCUUCCCCAUCAUUCGUGGCCUUUCUCUGGCUUUUAUAUAGCCUGAGAAUGCCAAGCGUUCGUGCAUCGUGGGGGCGAGGGAUAGCCGCUGGGAGACGUGGUCCAUAAUUAUAACGGUUUUGGUGCAUUUACUGCUGGAACGGUUCCUGAGGAAGAAGGCGAGUCGUUUCUCCCUCCCAGUUUUUUUUCCUCUCUUCUUCCCCGGUCUCAGUCUCUUCCCCAUCACACCGAUUUUUCAAUCUCUAAUCUCAACCCCAAGGAGCUGCAACUCCUCAUAAAAAAAAUAAAAAUUAAAAGUCUUUCUCCCUCCCAGUCACCGACCUUCAGCCUCUCUUCCCCGCUCUCACUCUCCCCGUUAACCAUCAUCCUUCAUCUCAGCCUCCUCACCGAAAACACAAGCCUCCACCCAUCAAUCCUCAGCCACGGGGAAACCGAAGGAAACACAUACACAGACCGCCCCUUCACUUCCUUUUUCCGCGACCGACCGACCCCUCAAACUGGCCACACACGGUCUUCUUCCCCCAUCAACAUUUCUCUUUCCUCCCCAGCUGACUACCAUGAGCAACAGAGAAGCAGCACCCGAAGACAUAAUGGUUCCAGCCACAGGCAGCUGCAAAACAGAAAAGAGUCUUCCUCAAAACUGAGCUGCAGGAGCAAAAGUCUUGUAGUGUAGUUUUUCUUUUUUUUUCCUUCCUCCCGCGGUGCAGCUUCUUCAUGCUCAAAAACCGUGAGGCUCCAGCAUGGCAGUCAUGGACUGUCCCAGCCUCCAUCGAAGCAACGUUCAGAAGCUCUCUUUCGCUCCAGCAGCCGUGAACGAGCUCAAGCCAGUAGCAGCAAAAGAGCUCCAACAGCUCCAACAACUCCAGCAAACUUCAAACUCCAAUAAGCAACCCUUUAUCUCCUCAUCGCGCUCCUAAGGCCAGCGUCCACCGGCUCCUCAGUCAUGAGAAGUUUCUUCUCCACCGUGAAACUGUGAGAACCAGUCUUCCCUCACCAGCGUCUCCAUGGCCAGCAUCAGGCCUAUCACAUAAAUGAAAGAAUUGAUUGAUGAGUUGAAGUACUGAAAUUGAAAGGACAAAGAGAUGGCCAAACUUAGAAAAGAGAUGUUGGUGCAGUCCAAACUGGAACAUUGUUCGGUAAUCGGGUCAUAUCUGGAGCUGUAGAUCUCGGAUUUAGGUCUACUUUAUAUGGAUGGAAAGAUAAGACCUAUGCUUACAACUUUCAUGAGGAGCCCAAGAUUUAACAAGGCCGGUUUCAAGUCCAAACUGUAGCAACAACGAAGAAGUCUGAAUCUGUCCUGCAGCCCAGACACUGUUCAGUGUUCAGCCCAUAUCUCGAGUUCUAGAAGUCCAAAUGAUCUCCCAUUUUUACCCUGGAAAGAUGAGACAAUUUCCUAGAACUUUCAUGAUUGAAGUCUGUUCAAAUUAUGACGUUAUCAAUGACGUUUUUAGCAGACAAGAAGAUAAGAAUUGUCACCAAGUCAAGAUGUGGCCACCCACUCAUCAAUUAGUCAACAAAUCAAUAGUUCUGAAUUUUGGCCUAUAAAAGGAGGCAUUUUCCAUGUAUUUAGGCAUCUUGGUGUUCAGAUCAAGAUCAUGCUCUUUGUAGGAUCAGAACUAAAUUGAUCCUUCCAUGAGUCGCAUAAAUUGGUCAACUACAGAAAGCCGUAAAAAGCUUAGAUUGGAUUUGAGCCUUCGUUUGUGAAUCCUUGUGUCUUUUGGUUUUAUUAUUAGCAUAUUAUUUUGUUUUGUUAUUUCUUAUAUUUGUUUAAGUGUGUUUCAGGUUUGUCAGUGUUCGUUGUUUCAGGUGAUGUCUUCUAUACUCUAUCUUUCUACCUUAGGACAUUGAGGAUAAUGUCUCGUUUUGGUUGGGGGGAGAAGGUAGUAGUAUUUAAAAAAAAACAAAAAAAAAAAAAACCAUUUGGCUAAACUGUUCUUACUAGGAUGGCAGAGUAAGGGGGAAUUUUAUUGACUCUUGAGACGCAUCUUAGUAAACAUUUUCUAAUGGUCAUUUGCAAUAUUCAUAACAAGGCCUAUUAGAAUACUUCUUGAAAUAUUCAGGUUUACAAACUCUCGCAUUGUUAUCACUUGAUUCUGCUCAUAUACUCAUUUAACAAGUAUUCUUAAACCUUCAUUUUCACACACACACUUUAACAUAUGAUUGUGGGUUGCACAUUGGAUUAUUACAUUAUUUAUGUUCUUUUGUUAAAGGUAACAACUAAGGGAUAGGAAUAGUCUAUGCUUUUCAAAAAAAAAAACAACAACAACAAAAAGAAAUUGAUGAUAAUAAAAGCGUAGAUAAGUUUGGUUUCGUAGCCUCCCUAACCUAAGCAAUUAAGCCCGAAGGGGUGUUUUAACACCUAAUACCCUAAAGUCAACUGACUUGGGAGCUAUUGGCCCAAAGCUUGUUACACGGGUUAAGGAGAAAAGCUUAAGGGAAUCAAACAUUGCACUAUCUACGUAUCAGUAUCUGCAACCCGAGUUACUAAGCUCGUAGGGGUGUCUCAACACCUAAUGCCCUAAGAGCAACUGGUCUGGGAGUCAUUAGCUGAAAGCUCAUUGCAUGGGUUAAAGAUGCAUUGUGUUAUAUGUAUAUAUAUUCAAAAAGAAGAAAAAAGAAAAAAAAAAAAGAAGAAGAAAAAAAAAAGAGAUAAUAAUCCCAACCCAAGGAAGUUAACCUUAAACAUUAGAACAAAAUAUUGUUUUCUUCCAAUAAAAGCCCCAUCAUCUAUGUUUUCAUACAUUGAGCACAUAAAAAGGAAGGUUUAUUAAUAUUUUGUUUAAGGGGUAUUGAGCAGAUAUAUAAAUUUAAUGAGAGUUUGUUUAUCUGAAUAAAUUAACGGAAGUUGAAUGAUGAAUGCCUUGCUUUGUGGAAUUUGCAAAUUGUUUUUCUAUUUUAAUGCUUUGAUUACUAGGGACUAGUAAUAAGCUGGUUGGGGGGUGUGAUUAGUACUUAAAAGUGCAUUUUUAUCAAGGUUUUAUAUCAUCAUUCUGCACUUGAAGUAUCAAUAACUCCUUAACUAAAGCAUGUUUUAUAAUAACAUAUCUAAUAAUAUAAGAUACCUUUAAUUUAUGGUAAAUGUUCAUCUUAAAUGCAGGCCUAUCACAUAAAUGAAAGAAUUGAUUGAUGAGUUGAAGUACUGAAAUUGAAAGGACAAAGAGAUGGCCAAACUUAGAAAAGAGAUGUUGGUGCAGUCCAAACUGGAACAUUGUUCGGUAAUCGGGUCAUAUCUGGAGCUGUAGAUCUCGGAUUUAGGUCUACUUUAUAUGGAUGGAAAGAUAAGACCUAUGCUUACAACUUUCAUGAGGAGCCCAAGAUUUAACAAGGCCGGUUUCAAGUCCAAACUGUAGCAACAACGAAGAAGUCUGAAUCUGUCCUGCAGCCCAGACACUGUUCAGUGUUCAGCCCAUAUCUCGAGUUCUAAAAGUCCAAAUGAUCUCCAAUUUUUACCCUGGAAAGAUGAGACAAUUUCCUAGAACUUUCAUGAUUGAAGUCUAUUCAAAUUAUGACGUUAUCAAUGACGUUUUUAGCAGACAAGAAGAUAAGAAUUGUCACCAAGUCAAGAUGUGGCCACCCACUCAUCAAUUAGUCAACAAAUCAAUAGUUCUGAAUUUUGGCCUAUAAAAGGAGGCAUUUUCCAUGUAUUUAGGCAUCUUGGUGUUCAGAUCAAGAUCAUGCUCUUGCUCUCUCUUUAUAUUUUAUAAUUCUUAAGUUUUGCUUA
Molecule: long non-coding RNA, 4218 nt
Organism: Populus trichocarpa (black cottonwood)
Lineage: Eukaryota; Viridiplantae; Streptophyta; Magnoliopsida; Malpighiales; Salicaceae
Exons: 2
Source: RefSeq, a predicted model, not a curated record